Molecule: ribosomal RNA, 484 nt
Filed under: uncultured bacterium
Lineage: Bacteria
Description: partial 16S ribosomal RNA
Rfam family: Bacterial small subunit ribosomal RNA
Source: RNAcentral
AUUGAACGCUGGCGGCAGGCCUAACACAUGCAAGUCGAGCGGAUGAAGGGAGCUUGCUCCUGGAUUCAGCGGCGGACGGGUGAGUAAUGCCCAGGAAUCUGCCUGGUAGUGGGGGAUAACGUCCGGAAACGGGCGCUAAUACCGCAUACGACCUGAGGGAGAAAGUGGGGGAUCUUCGGUCCUCACGCUAUCAGAUGAGCCUAGGUCGGAUUAGCUAGUUGGUGGGGUAAAGGCCUACCAAGGCGACGAUCCGUAACUGGUCUGAGAGGAUGAUCAGUCACACUGGAACUGAGACACGGUCCAGACUCCUACGGGAGGCAGCAGUGGGGAAUAUUGGACAAUGGGCGAAAGCCUGAUCCAGCCAUGCCGCGUGUGUGAAGAAGGUCUUCGGAUUGUAAAGCACUUUAAGUUGGGAGGAAGGGCAGUAAGUUAAUACCUUGCUGUUUUGACGUUACCAACAGAAUAAGCACCGGCUAACUUCGUG